Long non-coding RNA from Homo sapiens (human), 4848 nucleotides. RefSeq lists it as uncharacterized. Lineage: Eukaryota; Metazoa; Chordata; Mammalia; Primates; Hominidae. The record is from RefSeq and is a predicted model, not a curated record. The transcript has 3 exons.
UGAACCUGGACUGCCAUGUACAGUUGUUCAGAAUGUGCACUGUUCAUAUGGCCAUGAAUCAUAGUGCUGCCCAGGGUUAUGCAGGGCAAACUGCAUGUUGGAGCUAUGGAAGGAGGUGCAGGUUCUAGAAGAUCCUAGGAGAAAGAUAGGCUCGUGUCUGCCUGGAGAGUCAGGGGAGGUUACCAGGAGAAGGGGACUUGCUUGGACCUGAAGGCUGACUGAGGUUUGCACAGUCAGAGGGGACUCAGAACAGAAAAGGGCAUACCAGAGAGGGGUCUCCCAAGCCCAGCCUUUUAGCUGCCAUCACCAUUUCCACAGGGUCCCUGUACCACAUGCACCAUUAUUUACUUAAUAUUUAUUUUCAAAGCAUCUUUCCCCUUUUACUUAAAUAAAUUCAGGUUAAAAGAAGACUUUUAUUACCGCCAUAAAUGAAAAAUCAGCAUCACUUGCCAUAAAUAGAGGGUAACUGUAAAAAUAAACGCUAUGAAAACCAAACAGCAUUCGUAAAUUCUAGCCAAAGAAGCUUGCCUGCUGAAGGCUAUGAGCCUCAAUCUCCGUUUUUUUCUCAUUAACAAGGGAGACUGGCGAAGGUUAGGUGUUAAAGUCAGAGAAGCACCAGCAGAGACUUUCUUCUUAAUCACAAGGGGCUUGGGACGCAGGUCCUGCUCAAGUGUGGACACCAGCGGGCACCCAGCACCAGCCCUGGCUUCCGAUGGCCAUGGCCCAAUCUCACAACCCAUCACUAGUUCCCACCUCCAAGCCUUGCUCCUGCUGGGCCACAUACCUGGAAAGCUUCCCUGCCACUUCCCUAUCCCAAUCUUGCCGAUUCUUCCAGUGUGGCUCUUGGGACAGCAUCCUUGCCCGUAGUGAGAACUAACACCCACUUAAGGAAUGAAAAUACCUGAAUUGCAUACUUGGAGAAUGAAUGAACAAAGAAAUGAAUGGAUGACCCCUUUAUGGUCUGUGCUGCUCAAACCAGGAAAGCAACUUCCUGAGGCAUUGACUUCACUCCAGAAACAUGGGACAAGAACGUUAUUUUUGUAUUAAAACAAACAUGAAUAUAUUAUGGGAUAGAAUAUAGAAGUCAUAAAUUUUGAAUGAAAUAGGAGACAUCAAAGAAAUGUUGCCCCUGGUGAGAGCUGUUUACUCUCCUGCGUGGGCCGCACGCCAUCAACGGCCUCUUGUCCCAUCCAGUCCAAAGCCUCCUUCUCCGCAACCCCAGGCUCCGCAGAGCUCAGACUGUGCUCUACCCACAGGAAGUGCUGGUGUGGUGGCUAACAGGGGAAGGGGCCAGGGGGACGGUCGGGCACUAGGGCGAGGGGGAGCCCAGGAUUUACGGUGAGGAUGCAAGCCACAGCUCUCCCUGGCGUGCUGGGUGGCAUUGUGCAAGCUGCUUCACUACUCUGAGCUCUGGUUUCCCACUGUGUCAUUGAUUACAGGCUUAUUUUGAGGAUUAAAUGGGCAAAUGCAAGUGAAGAGCCUGUUUCAGUGUGUAGCACCCAGAAGGUCCACAACAACCGCUGUUCCCUGGUGGAACCCACUCCUUGCUGAGCCUUAGACACAAGCACAUUCACCCAGGUGGGUCCUUGCCUGUCUCUGGCCGAUGGAGGAGGGGCCGCCCUGCCUAGUAAAAAUUUAAAUAGCUAACAUUUUUUUUUUCUUUUUUUCUUUCUUUUUUGAGACAGAGUCUCACACCGUCGCCCAGGUUGGAGUGCAGUGGCAUGAUCUUUGCUCACUGCAACCUCCGCCUCCCAGGUUCAAGCAAUUCUCCUUGCCUCAGCCUCCCAAGAAGCUGGGAUUACAGGCGGCCUCCACCACGCCUGACUAAUUUUUUUGUAUUUUUACUAGAGACAAGCUUUCACUACAUUAGCCAGGCUGGUCUUGAACUCCUGACCUCGUGAUCCGCCCGUCUUGGCCUCCAGAAGUGCUGGGAUUACAGGUGUGAGCCACCGCACCUGGCCAAAAUUAACCACUUUAAAGUGGACAAUUGAGUCGCAUCUAGUGCAUUCACAAUGUGAUGCAACUAGUCCCAACAUGCUGUCUUCCCCCCAGAAGGAAACUCCUCACUCCCCACUCUCCCCUAACCCCUGGCAACCUCAAAUCUGCAUUCUCACAUUUGCCUACUCCGGAUAUUUCAUAUCAUCUGCAUCAUAUAAUAUGUGGUCUUUUGUGACUGGCUUCCUUCAUCUAGCAUAGAGUUUUUGAGGUUCAUCUACCAUUGUCGCACACAUCAGUAAUUCAUUACUUUUCAUAGAGGUGUUUCUUUAAUACAAUAAAAUAUCCUACCUAAUCCCCAAAACAACCUGGGAAGUGGCCACUAUCAUUGUCCUCUUCUUACAGAUGGGGAAACUGAGGCACGGAGUGGGUGGGGACUUGCCCAGGUUCCCUGCCAGACACCCCGACAUAGCUGAGCAGGAAGUGCUGGAGCCGGCAAGCUGGAAGCAGGGCGCCUCCCAAGGCCACCAGCACAUAUUGAGGUAGACAGCAGUAGAAUUACAAAUCUAGGGAGAUUUAAGGAGAACUAAAAUAUUCUGGCACUUGCAGGAUUGUGGGAGUUGAGCAGGUUUCCCCAGUGGAAUUCCCGCCUCCUCUUCCCACAUGUCUGGGCCACAAGGAGUGAGAGCAGGUGGGAGGGAGGGAGGCAAGCGCGGGAGUGUUCAGGGAGCCAGAGAUAGGGCAGGGGCGGGGGCAGGGAGCCAGGAGCCGGGAGCAGGCACACAGGCGUCCCGACGUCUCUACCGAUACCAUUUAUUUUCAUUCUCCCCAGUACAUCCUGCAAAGCUAGUGGGGUGAGCCCAUUGCACGGAUGCAUAACGAGGCUCAGAGAGGCUGGAGCGGGGCAGGAUUUGAGCCUUAGUGUCAGAUCCCAAAGCCGAGGCGCAUAGCCAUCCUCUGCUGCCGGGAGGGGCUAAGAGGGAAGAAGUGGGGGAAGCAAAGGAGGCUGCAUCAAUCACAGGGAUGGAUUUGCUCCAGCACGCCAGAAAGGAGCAGCCUCAGAGCCACUGAGGAGAAAGAACAGUGAGGGCUGUAAGGGGCGCUGAGGGUGGAGGCAGGAGGGCCAGGGACAUGAAGGACGGGGCAAAAGGGGAGGCAGAGACCAACGGACAGGGACAGAUGGAGGCAGGCACUUGGGAUGUUCCAGAACAGAGGCUCUGAGGGUGCCCAGUGGGUAGGGUGGUGGUGGCCCCACCCUGACCAGAACCUGGCCUCGGUCAAACCUGACCCCCCACCCAGGACCUAGUACAUGCCCCAGCCCCAGCCCCUGCCACCCCUGCCCAAUCGUGUCUGCGAAAUUCAAGGAAGCAACAGUAAAUAUGUGGGCUCCGGAGUCAGGCUGACCUGGAUUUCAACCCAACUGCACCUCCUCAAGGUAUCCUCAGCAAGAUCUUGCCACCUUUCUGAGUGGCUGGUUCCUCUUGGUGGAACCCACUGCUUUACUGGUUCCCUGAGGAGCUAGAAGGGAGAAAGCUUGGGUUACGGCUACAAGAAGGAAGACGCCAUGGCCAAGCCUGCCUCAAGGCUGUUCUGGAGGAGGCAGUCCCAGAGCUGCCAGAUGCAUCUUCAUCUUAAACACAGCUUUCCAGCUCUCUGUACAGACUCAGCACCCUUGGAUGGAGAAACAAAGCUCAGAAAGAUGAUGUAACCUGCACAAAGUUGCACAGUGAGGUAGGGCAGAGGCUGAAUGUGAACGGACACAUCCCAGCCCAUCCUCCUCCCCUGUGUAAUUGUGCCUCUUGUCUGCUUCCCAAUGCAAGUGUAAUCUCUGGGCACCGUGGAAGCCGAGAGCCUAGUGGAGGCAGAAGGUAAGCAAAGACUAGCCCAGGAAACAGUCUCUAGGAAUUCACUAGAGUGGGUGACGCCUGUCACUCAUUUCAUUCUGGGAAUGCUGCAGGAGAUGGAAAGCCUCCCAUCCCUGGAGGCAACUAACAUGCCUCUAGUGGUCGUGUGGAUGCCAUGAGGCAAAUAUCACUGCUAUUUCCAUUAUAUAAAUGAGGCUCAGAGGUGAGCAUCACGUCAAGUAUUUCAAUUGGGAAAGAUGAUAUUUUUAAACUUCCCUCUAAGCAUGGGAUCUUGCACUGCCCCUUACUGCUGAGCCAAGCUCCCUGGAGAGUCUCCAUACCCUCCCCUUGACUCAGACAGGCCACCCUCCCUCCCCUCCUUGAGAGGUGUCACUUGAGCACUGUGGCUCUGUCAGUGGUAACAGCUGUAAGAUUUGUCCUUUUAAUCCAGAAUCAAUAACAAAUUUCAUUUAAAAAUAAAUUAAACCAGGCAUUGGAAAUCAUUCACCACGUGGGCUGGAGCCCUAUAUAGCACCAUCUAAAUGGCUUCCUUUUGCUCAUCUAUCAAUGCCAAGAGUGGGGGAAAUACCUAGGCUGCCUGAUUCAUGGAGAAACUACUUAAAUGUAUCAGCCCCUAACAAUGAGCAAUGUAAGCCUGGAGUUGCACCUUUUAGCACACCAAUAACAUGUGGAGUGAGGCUUCAUGAGAGCUUAUCAGAGCCCCCAUGGUCACUGGCUUUGAGAGAGCCCAUUUAUAAGGGGGAACAAUGGCUUUAGUAUGUAGCCGCCUAAUUUCCAGAAUGCAUUACUGAGCUCUGAGGAGCAAUGGAAUUCUAUUAAAGUCUUAUCUGCCAUGGGAGGGUAUGAAACCGGUGCGGAACUCCAGGCUUGGCAUAGACAUGCCCAGAAAGCAGCAGGGCUGACCCUAGGAGGUGGGUGAACAAGCCCAGAGGGAGAGGGGGGAGCAGGAGGGGCCCCGGAUGUGUGAAAAUAUGUGUGUUAAUAAGAGCUCCGGUUUCCAGCGAUUACGUUUACAUCAGUGAAUAAAACUUGGCAAUAAAACAUCGGA